This 288-nucleotide ribosomal RNA is filed under the name uncultured bacterium. RNAcentral's name for it is "partial 16S ribosomal RNA". It matches the Rfam family "Bacterial small subunit ribosomal RNA", at positions 354 to 636 of the family's 1533-position model. The record is from RNAcentral.
GUAGAGAAUCUUCCACAAUGGACGCAAGUCUGAUGGAGCAACGCCGCGCGAGUGAAGAAGGCUUUCGGGUCGUAAAACUCUGUUAUUGAAGAAGAACGUCGUGACAGUAACUGGUCAUGCAGUGACGGUAUUCAAUCAGAAAGUCACGGCUAACUACGUGCCAGCAGCCGCGGUAAUACGUAGGUGGCAAGCGUUGUCCGGAUUUAUUGGGCNUAAAGCGAGUGCAGGCGGUCUUUUAAGUCUGAUGUGAAAGCCUUCGGCUUAACCGAAGAAGGCAUCGGAAACUGG